GAUGAACGCUGGCGGCGUGCCUAAUACAUGCAAGUCGAGCGAACGGACGAGAAGCUUGCUUCUCUGAUGUUAGCGGCGGACGGGUGAGUAACACGUGGAUAACCUACCUAUAAGACUGGGAUAACUUCGGGAAACCGGAGCUAAUACCGGAUAAUAUUUUGAACCGCAUGGUUCAAAAGUGAAAGACGGUCUUGCUGUCACUUAUAGAUGGAUCCGCGCUGCAUUAGCUAGUUGGUAAGGUAACGGCUUACCAAGGCAACGAUGCAUAGCCGACCUGAGAGGGUGAUCGGCCACACUGGAACUGCGACACGGUCCAGACUCCGACGGGAGGCAGCAGUAGGGAAUCUUCCGCAAUGGGCGAAAGCCUGACGGAGCAACGCCGCGUGAGGGAUGAAGGUCUUCGGAUCGUAAAACUCUGUUAUUAGGGAAGAACAUAUGUGUAAGUAACUGUGCACAUCGUGACGGUACCUAAUCAGAAAGCCACGGCUAACGACG
RNAcentral lists this ribosomal RNA (495 nucleotides) under uncultured bacterium. RNAcentral describes it as "partial 16S ribosomal RNA". It matches the Rfam family "Bacterial small subunit ribosomal RNA", at positions 28 to 505 of the family's 1533-position model. The record is from RNAcentral.